RNAcentral lists this ribosomal RNA (332 nucleotides) under uncultured bacterium. RNAcentral describes it as "bacterial SSU rRNA". It matches the Rfam family "Bacterial small subunit ribosomal RNA", at positions 568 to 898 of the family's 1533-position model. The record is from RNAcentral.
CUCGUAGGUGGCCAACUAAGUCAGACGUGAAAUCCCUCGGCUUAACCGGGGAACUGCGUCUGAUACUGGAUGGCUUGAGUUUGGGAGAGGGACGCGGAAUUCCAGGUGUAGCGGUGAAAUGCGUAGAUAUCUGGAGGAACACCGGUGGCGAAGGCGGCGUCCUGGACCAACACUGACACUGAUGAGCGAAAGCCAGGGGAGCAAACGGGAUUAGAUACCCCGGUAGUCCUGGCCCUAAACGAUGAAUGCUUGGUGUGGCGGGUAUCGAUCCCUGCCGUGCCGAAGCUAACGCAUUAAGCAUUCCGCCUGGGGAGUACGGUCGCAAGGCUGAA